UAGGGAAUCUUCGGCAAUGGACGAAAGUCUGACCGAGCAACGCCGCGUGAGUGAAGAAGGUUUUCGGAUCGUAAAACUCUGUUGUUAGAGAAGAACAAGGACGUUAGUAACUGAACGUCCCCUGACGGUAUCUAACCAGAAAGCCACGGCUAACUACGUGCCAGCAGCCGCGGUAAUACGUAGGUGGCAAGCGUUGUCCGGAUUUAUUGGGCGUAAAGCGAGCGCAGGCGGUUUCUUAAGUCUGAUGUGAAAGCCCCCGGCUCAACCGGGGAGGGUCAUUGGAAACUGAGAGACUUGAGUGCAGAAGAGGAGAGUGGAAUUCCAUGUGUAGCGGUGAAAUGCGUAGAUAUAUGGAGGAACACCAGUGGCGAAGGCGGCUCUCUGGUCUGUAACUGACGCUGAGGCUAGAAAGCGUGGGGAGCAAACAGG
Molecule: ribosomal RNA, 429 nt
Filed under: Gemmatimonadota bacterium
Lineage: Bacteria; Pseudomonadati; Gemmatimonadota
Description: Gemmatimonadetes bacterium partial 16S ribosomal RNA
Rfam family: Bacterial small subunit ribosomal RNA
Source: RNAcentral